Molecule: ribosomal RNA, 468 nt
Filed under: uncultured bacterium
Lineage: Bacteria
Description: partial 16S ribosomal RNA
Rfam family: Bacterial small subunit ribosomal RNA
Source: RNAcentral
GACGAACGCUGGCGGCGUGCUUAACACAUGCAAGUCGAACGGAAAGGCCCUGCUUUUGUGGGGUGCUCGAGUGGCGAACGGGUGAGUAACACGUGAGUAACCUGCCCUUGACUUUGGGAUAACUUCAGGAAACUGGGGCUAAUACCGGAUAGGAGCUCCUGCUGCAUGGUGGGGGUUGGAAAGUUUCGGCGGUUGGGGAUGGACUCGCGGCUUAUCAGCUUGUGGGUGGGGUAGUGGCUUACCAAGGCUUUGACGGGUAGCCGGCCUGAGAGGGUGACCGGCCACAUUGGGCCUAAGAUACGGCCCAGACUCCUACGGGAGGCAGCAGUGGGGAAUAUUGCACAAUGGGCGGAAGCCUGAUGCAGCAACGCCGCGUGCGGGAUGACGGCCUUCGGGUUGUAAACCGCUUUCGCCUGUGACGAAGCGUGAGUGACGGUAAUGGGUAAAGAAGCACCGGCUAACUACGUG